CUUGUUUUGCUAUGUGCCCCAUGCUCCUUCGGGGGCGGUCAUGGAUGCAGAGAUUGGCCCUCCGUGCCUCGUGUGUGGCGGGCUUAAGCGCGGGCUGUCGGCGUCGGGAUGGACACGACGAGUGGUGGACGGAGCACCAGUAGGAUGUCGUGGCCCCCUGUCGCCUAAAAGGGGCUCAAGAGAUCCAGACUAGUCGAGCCGUGCUCCGUACGAGGAGGGCGAGCUGUCUCGCAAU
Molecule: unclassified non-coding RNA, 235 nt
Filed under: Lilium pyrenaicum
Lineage: Eukaryota; Viridiplantae; Streptophyta; Magnoliopsida; Liliales; Liliaceae
Description: ITS 2
Source: RNAcentral